Molecule: regulatory RNA element, 119 nt
Organism: Winogradskyella sp. PG-2
Lineage: Bacteria; Pseudomonadati; Bacteroidota; Flavobacteriia; Flavobacteriales; Flavobacteriaceae
Rfam family: Bacteroidete tryptophan peptide leader RNA
Source: Rfam
UCAUUUCUAUAUUUGACAUUCAAAUGAAAACAAAAACAAAUCAUACUUGGUGGUGGAAUUUCUCAAACUUAUGUUCGUGAAAUAAUCCUUGGUAUUUAAAAUAUAGAAAAAGGCUUGUC